Molecule: ribosomal RNA, 253 nt
Filed under: uncultured bacterium
Lineage: Bacteria
Description: partial 16S ribosomal RNA
Rfam family: Bacterial small subunit ribosomal RNA
Source: RNAcentral
UACGAAGGGGGCUAGCGUUGUUCGGAAUUACUGGGCGUAAAGCGAACGUAGGCGGUGUUCCAUGUCAGAGGUGAAAGCCUGGGGCUCAACUCCAGAAUUGCCUUUGAAACGGGGACGCUUGAGUCCGAGAGAGGAUAGCGGAAUUCCUAGUGUAGAGGUGAAAUUCGUAGAUAUUAGGAAGAACACCAGUGGCGAAGGCGGCUAUCUGGCUCGGUACUGACGCUCAGGUUCGAAAGCGUGGGGAGCAAACAGG